UACGUAGGGGGCAAGCGUUGUCCGGAAUCAUUGGGCGUAAAGAGCGCGUAGGCGGCCCUGUAAGUCCGCUGUGAAAGUCAAGGGCUCAACCCUUGAAUGCCGGUGGAUACUGCAGGGCUAGAGUCCGGAAGAGGCGAGUGGAAUUCCUGGUGUAGCGGUGGAAUGCGCAGAUAUCAGGAAGAACACCCGUGGCGAAGGCGGUUCUCUGGGACGGUACUGACGCUGAGACGCGAAAGCGUGGGGAGCGAACAGG
This 253-nucleotide ribosomal RNA is filed under the name uncultured bacterium. RNAcentral's name for it is "partial 16S ribosomal RNA". It matches the Rfam family "Bacterial small subunit ribosomal RNA", at positions 524 to 776 of the family's 1533-position model. The record is from RNAcentral.